This 4121-nucleotide long non-coding RNA is filed under the name Homo sapiens (human). RNAcentral's name for it is "HSALNT0023924". Lineage: Eukaryota; Metazoa; Chordata; Mammalia; Primates; Hominidae. The record is from RNAcentral.
AGGCAAGAGAGAAUGAGCUUGUGCAGGGCAAUUCCCGUUUUCAAAACCAUCAGAUCUCGUGAGACUUAUGCACUAUCAUGAGAACAGCAGGGGAGAAAACGGUCCCCGUUAUUCAAUUACUUCCCACCAGGUUCCUCCCAUGACACAUGGGAAUUGUGGGAGUUACAGUUCAAGAUGAGAUUUGGGUGGGGACACAGCCAAACCAUAUCACCCCAGGAGAGUGGAGAUCAGUCAUGAGAUUCCACAGUUGCUGUGGAAGCAGAAUCUAUAGAACACAGCAGCUCAACAAUCAACAGGGCUUUGAAGUGGAAAGGGAGUGGGUGGUGGGGGGGUGUGUGGCUUUAGGGUCUCUGGCUUAGGAAGCUGAGUCUCCGUAGUGCCAUUCAUACAGAUGGAAUGAGGGAAGAAGCAGUUUCAUGGGAAAGUAGUAAAUUUGAUUGAGUAACAAGAGCUUGGGGGAUCCAGAAGAGAGCUAGGUUUGCAGUUCAGGAGUCCAGGAGAGAGUCAGACUGAAAACAUAAGCCCAUGGAUAGUCAGUCAUUGAAGCCAUGGGAAUGAAGAUCACCUAUGGGAAACACAGAUAGAAGCGAAUGUUACCACAAUGAAGUGUGGUCUAUACAAUUAAUUGCUGCAAAGAGGUCAGAAUAGAGUGAUCUGUGAUAUCUUCCCACUAAUCCCAAGUCAGGAGAGAGAGAGAAUGAAGAUCCAUUGCUGUAGAGGAACAAACUGAACGUGUUGAAGGUCCCGCAAGGCCAAUGUGGCUGGAAUGCAGACACAAAGCCAGGAGGAACAAGAGAUGGGGCUGACAAGAGAGGCAGGAGUCAGAUCUCAUGGGAACUGUCACCUGCAGUGUUGCAGACCUCUUUGAAUACACCAUGAGCACUGUGGAUUCUCGCCUCUGGAGAAUAAAAAUCACAUACAGAAAAGUUCAGACAACUUUAAGGAGUUUGAAGAAUCCCUGCUAGUCGUGGACCCAUCUGGGGUUGGUGGAUUCCUCACCAUGACUCUUUGGAUUCAGAAGUCAUAUAAGAUGCAGUUUAACAAAUAUUGGAAGUCAAAUGAGCAUUCUGCGGAAAAACAGCUUCUUCCAUACAUCAUCUUCUGGAAUAUCCCAGAUCUGGAAGAGGUCACAGGAAUGUCCAUUCAUAGGGAGCUCUACCUGGAGCUCAGAGAUGAUUGAGAGAGGGUAUUCAUCAUGGAUGUGUCCAAGUGAAGGUAGUUUGGAAAGAAACAAAGUUACCCUUUUUUCUCACUAAACAUCUUAGGGUCCCCAUUAGCAGGAAGGAAGGAAGAGGACAGGUGAGCUCCCUGGUAUUGAUGUAUUUACAGAGAACCUAGGCAUCAGCCAUACAUACAGAGGACACUCAUUUGGCCAGAAUUUGGGCUUUGACUUUAAUUAAAUUCCCUUGCUCCCAAUAAGACCUCUCUUAAUCUGAAAACAAUUUGUCAUAAGUGAUGUACCUGCCAAGACCUCAUGGCAAAGAGGCAGGGGGUACCUAGUAAAUGUUGCUGACAAACUCCAGCAUGACUCUAAAGGGACAGUGGCUUCCUUUGGAUGGUCAUGUGCUGCUGCUGGACAUAGCAAUCAGAAGGACAGUGGUGAACACCCAGGAGUGAACCAAGAUGCAAAGUUCAAGUCCGAGGGAAGAAGGGUGCAGUGCGGAAGAAGGGAAGGCAGAUGCUGCAGCCCUGCCUACAAGCAAGGAGGGAGCCAUUAAGAGCCCCAAGCUGGCCAGGCGCAGUGGCUUGCGCCUGUAUUCCUAAUCCCGGCACUUUGGGAAGCCAAGGUGGACGGAUCACCUGAGGUCAGGAGUUUGAGACCAGCUUGACCAACAUGGAGAAACUCUGUCUCUACUAAAAAUACAAAAUUAGCCAGGAGGCUGAGGCAGAAGAAUUGCUAGAAUCCGGGAGGUAGAGGUUGCAGUGAGCCGAGAUCGUGCCAUUGCACUCUAGCCUGGGCAACAAGAGCGAAACUCCAUCUCAAAAAAACAAAAAAGCCCCAAGCCUACUUUAUCAGACAGAGGAAUCAAGUUGUAUUUCCUUCUCACCAAGAGACGCUGGAAAGCUGUAAUCUUACACCAGUGGAGAAAGUGAGAGGAAAAUAAACCCUUUCUAAGGAUGAAUCCUGAAAGCCUUUCACAGACAAUGCUGCUUCUAUAAGAAUGACCUGUGAUGGCUAAGCCAUCACAGUCUUCAUUCCAAUUGACAUUCUAGGUAAACCUGCGCACAACUUUUUCUGUGUAUUUUCCAAAAAAGGAUCAUUUUAUAAAGGCUCAAGUUAUUUACAAAUAUUGUGCGUAUUCUUGCUGUUUCUCAGUUCUUUAAGAACCAUACAGACAUAUUGCCUGGAUUUUCACCAGCCAAUAUGAAUGUGCUCACCUUCCCUUGGGUGAGACCACACAGGCACAACAUGCGGCUCAGGAUAAGUUUUAUUGAACGUUUAGAGAGCUAGUUAAUUAAUUAAUUAUUUUUUUGAGAUGGAGUCUUGCUCUGUCGCCCAGGUUGGGGUGCAGUGGCGUGAUCUCAGCUCACUCCGCCUUCCGGGUUCAAGUGAUUCUCUUGCCUCAGCCUCCAGAGUAGCUGGGAUUACUGGCAUGUGCCACAACACCCAGCUCAUUUUUGUAUUUUUAGUACAAACUGGGUUUCACCAUGUUGGGCAGGCUGGCCUCGAACUCCUGACCUCAGGUAAUCUGCCCGCCUCGGCCUCCCAAAGUGUUGGGAUUACAGGCGUGAGCCACAGCUCCUGGACCAAGAGCUAGUUAAUUUAAAAAAUAGUUUACAAGUUAUUUAAUAAAUGAGAAAAUGGAAACUCAGCCCCAAGGGGAAACGGGAUUCUAAGUUUAACUUCCUUAGGCAGGUCCAGUUUUGUGUGGUUUCUGUGGUAUGGGUGAGUGGUUAUCACACAAUUUGAUCUCAUGAGUAAAACUGAUGCAGGAGGACUUUUGUUCACUCUGUUUUAUUAAUGAAAUGAAUCCAGAGCUGCUUUUUUAUGCUAAAGACUUUAGAGUAAAGACAUAAUAAAGACAGCCCUUCCUCCUCUUGCCUGAGGGAAUUUAGGAAGACAUUCCUUGAGGAAUCUAUUUAGGGCUUUGGAGACAGGAAAGGUAGCAGGAUAUGGUAAGAGCAAAAGCAUCAGCUACAGUAGGUAAUGCCUGGGGUUGUUGAAACUGAAGGAAGAAAAGGUUUCCUGUACAAAAACCAAGCACCGUUUUAUUUUAAUGCUCAGCCGAGACCCCUUCCUGAGAAAACCAGCCACGUCCGUGAUUCUUGAAGAAGGUAGUUCCUCUGAGCCCUGUGUUCGCCAGAGGCCUGGAGGAGUAAGUGAGAAGUAGAGGGUGCUGCCAGCACGAAUGCUUUGUCAUUUAGAACUGCCCAGGGAGCAGUUAUAAAACACACACCUGCAAAUUACAAGAGGAUGGCAUGGGCUCACAGGUGCAGCAAGACAUGAAGUGACAUCUGUCCUCAGCGUCCCUUUUCUUGGAAUGCUCCCAUGUAGAACCCUAUGUCACUUUGAACGAACCUCUUUCUGAAGUGCCUGGGGAGCUCUAUCUCCAAGCCCCUACCCUAGGUACUUGCCUCUCCACCCAACCCCACCCCAGUACUGACGACUCAUCUUAGGAACUGGAGAUAGUGAAAGACAAGACCAAUUGAGCAUUUGGGUGGGAGAGAACAUGGCUUACAUGCUCUGCUAAUCUGGGAUCACAUUCUUCCCUACAAGUCUGAAAGCUAAGUGACAGCCCCAAGUCUCCCUCUUAGCAGGUUAGGAGGGGAAGCACACCAAGAGGCCUCACAACUGUGUGUGGAAUCACUGUGUUCUCAGUGAGGGAGAGAAAAUAGAGAAUUUUUAAAGCAUUCUCCCCAGAUAAUAGAAGUUUUGAUUCGUUCUUUCCCAAGACAAAACCAAAAGUUUGUUUAAAUCUUGUUUCGUACACACAUUGAGGAGAGCAACUUUGAGCAUCUACUGCAUACUAGGCAUUGCACUCUGUGUGGGGCAAUACAGGGGUGAUAUGGGGCGGAAUAAGGCAACUCGAGUGGCCACUAGGUGUACUGCAGAGGUAGUUAACCUGCACUUUGACAAGGCUCCCUCCCCUCCCCUCCCCUCCCCCCUCCCCUCCCCUCCC